AAUAGACUUUUUUUGAUAAACGGGUUGGGCUCGGGCUUGGCAAUUAAAACCUAAUCCAAGCCCAGCUUGACUUAGAUUCUUUUAUUUUUCUUGUAUUGAAUUUGACAAUAGAUAUUGUAGGAUUGUGGGUGUUGCAUCAAGGCUCUGGAGAGAGCUGAUGUUGUGAAGGAGGUGCAUCUGUCUAGUCACUGGGACGUCAUGAGAGACUUACAAGAGAAGUCAACUCACACCAGAGGGGGUACUCCGGUGGGGGACCCUUUGAUGCUUAAGUUAGUCAGAGCUUGAGCACAGUAGAAGGGAGAGAGA
This 306-nucleotide long non-coding RNA is filed under the name Elaeis guineensis (African oil palm). RNAcentral describes it as "long non-coding RNA (EGUI_LNC033488)". The record is from RNAcentral. Lineage: Eukaryota; Viridiplantae; Streptophyta; Magnoliopsida; Arecales; Arecaceae.